This 209-nucleotide ribosomal RNA is filed under the name uncultured bacterium. RNAcentral describes it as "partial 16S ribosomal RNA". It matches the Rfam family "Bacterial small subunit ribosomal RNA", at positions 567 to 775 of the family's 1533-position model. The record is from RNAcentral.
ACUCGUAGGCGGUUCGUCGCGUCCGGUGUGAAAGUCCAUCACUUAACGGUGGAUCCGCGCCGGGUACGGGCGGGCUUGAGUGCGGUAGGGGAGACUGGAAUUCCCGGUGUAACGGUGGAAUGUGUAGAUAUCGGGAAGAACACCAAUGGCGAAGGCAGGUCUCUGGGCCGUUACUGACGCUGAGGAGCGAAAGCGUGGGGAGCGAACAG